This is a non-coding RNA of Nelumbo nucifera (sacred lotus), 1200 nucleotides long. The record is from RefSeq and is a predicted model, not a curated record. Lineage: Eukaryota; Viridiplantae; Streptophyta; Magnoliopsida; Proteales; Nelumbonaceae.
CAUCUGACAGAGUUACUACAUCUCUCAUCGCCUUGGGUUCAAAAUCCUGUUUGGUAGCCCAAACAAAAUACCGGCCUGGAAGAGGAGAUGCUUUUUUGUCCGGAACCCUGAGGGGUGGCCCUUCCCAACUUACUAGCGGGUGGCUAUUAAAGACCCCAGGCUGAGGCUGGAUGCGGAGACCAGGGUAGUCGUUAACUCCUGGAGGGACCUCAGCCUGGAGAUGAGGGAUUUCUUGGCUGAGGAGAAGCUUGUGCAAGUUAGGCUAGGCCCUCCUGCUAUGCUGGAGGUCGAUGCAGAGAACCUUUUGAAGAGCUUUCAGAAAGGGAAAAAGAGGAAGGCCUCGAAGAAGUCUCGCAGGGAGGCCGGUCCCUCUUCCCCUAUCCUGCUCGAGGUCAUUGCGCCGAAGCCGAUCUCGGCCGAACUUUCGAAGGAGGAGGUCCGUCCCUAGCCUCCUAUCGUGGACCUGGACGAAGACAAGGACGAAGAAGCUCCGCCUCGCGAAUCGGAAGCUUCCACGCCCGAACCUUAGCUCUCGAAGGAGAGAAUAAUGACCCCUCGGCUCGGACUCCUCAAGAGCAAGGAUGCCGUAUUUCGCUGUUAGCUACUGUAUGGUGGUGAACUCGGGAAGCCGAGGAGAAUGCUCAAAAACUUUACCACAAGCUGGACUUAGCUCAGGGUGAUGUUCUUCAGGCUAAGAAAGGAGCUCGAAGUCAAUAGAAGCUGAUCCUGGCACUGACUAAGGAGAAGGAGAAGCUCCAAUGCGAGAACGAAAACCUCGAUGCGAUGAUCAAAGAGCACACCGAGAUUUUCGAGAUUGCUAUUCAAGAGGCGUGAGCUGAGGAGGAGAGCGUGCCGUCGAAAGCUUCAAGGAGUCUUCGGAGUUCCACAAUCUCCAGGUCAAGUACGGAUCGAGCUCUUACCAGUCUGGCUUCAAACUAUGCAAAUAUCUGAUGCGGCAGAAGUUUACCGAACUGGACCUCGGAGUUGUUUCAAGGUUUGACCUCACUCCCGAGACGGUGAAGGCUGCCAAUGAAGAACCCGGCUCCUCCGAAGAGGAAAGCAAUGAUGAAGUCCCUGAGGCGGGCCCAUCAGGUCGAGAGGAUGCGGAGGAGGAUCGCAUGGAGACUGACUUGCCUAGUAGUUCGGAUGCAUGAUUUUUGCCUCUUUUUUUGGACCUUUAUGAUGUACACCCCGAGCCUC